This 929-nucleotide long non-coding RNA is filed under the name Sorghum bicolor (sorghum). RNAcentral describes it as "long non-coding RNA (SBIC_LNC013689)". The record is from RNAcentral. Lineage: Eukaryota; Viridiplantae; Streptophyta; Magnoliopsida; Poales; Poaceae.
GCACGUUCACUCAUACAUGCUGCUUCUACUCCAGAAGUACGCAUCCACAUACAUCCACUCCUUUCCAUCUCCAGAUUCACCCAAAAUUAUUCUACUCCUAUCCAGGAGAGAAUAGGCAAAAACAUUAUCCUAUCUCUGUUAUUCCCCGUGAAAUAAAUGCUCGAGAUAUUUUGGUUACUACCACUUGCUACAUUAUUCCAGGAGGGUGAGUGCUCUAAAAAAAGUGAAUACGAGAAAAUAAAAACGGGCAAGUGCCCGAAACCUCGAAGAAAAGAAAAAGUGAGACGAGAGGUAAAAAUGGACAAGUGUCUGACAGUAGAAUUAGGGGUACAAGAUACCCACCUGAGAGAAAAGCAAAAGAAAAUAUAGAGCAUCUCAUUCCACCUCAAAAAGCUUCAAAGUGCAAGAAAGGUAUGUAUCCCCUCAAAAGAGCAAAAGUAGAAUUAGACUUUCACCAUUAUCACCAUCAUCACCAUACACCAUUCAUUCGUCACACAUGCACAUCUUGAUAUUGACUUAUUGACUUGUUUCUCUGGAUCCAUGGUUUGACUAUGCAAUAAAUGUCUUGUAAGUAUGUAUACUUUAUCUCCCACCUAUGAGCUCUAGAUAUCAAGCCUUAUUAGAGUAGGGUGAGAGAGAAGGCAAUGUCACUAUGCCUUAUACCACAAAUACUACAUACUUUGAGAGAAGGCAUAUACCAUCACUGCCUUGGUAAGGAUCCAGAAAUACCACAAAAGAGAGACUAGAGAGAGUCAUACAAGGAAUCUCUGAGUUUUAUUUGAAAAUCUGCAAAAACUCCAGAGCUAUAGUUGAUCAAGAACAAGAGACAUGGCGCUUGACUUGACCGUUCUAUCUUUUAACUGCUCAAGACACAAGUGACGGUUGCAAGCCCCAUGGUAGAAGGUAAUAUGAGUAAGUUUAAAUCUUAA